Molecule: ribosomal RNA, 253 nt
Filed under: uncultured bacterium
Lineage: Bacteria
Description: partial 16S ribosomal RNA
Rfam family: Bacterial small subunit ribosomal RNA
Source: RNAcentral
CACGAAGGGUGCAAACGUUGCUCGGAAUUAUUGGGCGUAAAGCGCACGUAGGCGGCUUGGCAAGUCGGAUGUGAAAUCCCUCGGCUCAACCAAGGAAGUGCAUCCGAAACUGCCGAGCUUGAGUACUUAAGAGGAUCGCGGAAUUCCCGGUGUAGAGGUGAAAUUCGUAGAUAUCGGGAGGAACACCAGUGGCGAAGGCGGCGAUCUGGGAAGAUACUGACGCUGAGGUGCGAAAGCGUGGGGAGCAAACAGG